GAUGUGUGUUAGACGUUGGAAAUUUAUUUUCAGUGUCGCAGCGAAAGCGAUAAACACACCGCCUGGGGAGUACGACCGCAAGGUUAAAACUCAAAUGAAUUGACGGGGACCCGCACAAGUAGUGGAGCAUGUGGUUUAAUUCGAAGAUACGCGCAGAACCUUACCAACACUUGACAUGUUCGUCGCGACUCUAAGAGAUUAGAGUUUUCGGUUCGGCCGGACGAAACACAGGUGCUGCAUGGCUGUCGUCAGCUCGUGUCGUGAGAUGUUGGGUUAAGUCCCGCAACGAGCGCAACCCUCACUUUUAGUUGCCAUCAUUAAGUUGGGCACUCUGAAAGAACUGCCAGUGAUAAGCUGGAGGAAGGUGGGGAUGACGUCAAGUCCUCAUGGCCCUUACGUGUUGGGCUACACACGUGCUACAAUGGUAUCUACAACAGGAAGCAAGACGGCAACGUUAAGCAAAUCCUUAAAAGAUACCUCAGUUCGGAUUGCACUCUGCAACUCGAGUGCAUGAAGCUGGAAUUACUAGUAAUCGUGGAUCAGCGUGCCACGGUGAAUGCGUUCCCGGGUCUUGUACACACCGCCCGUCACACCAUGGGAGUUGGUUCUACCUUAAGGCAAGGUUUUAAACCCUUGACCACGGUAUAGUCAGCGACUGGGGUGAAGUCGUAACAAGGUAACCGUA
This 685-nucleotide ribosomal RNA is filed under the name uncultured bacterium. Its description in RNAcentral is "bacterial SSU rRNA". It matches the Rfam family "Bacterial small subunit ribosomal RNA", at positions 808 to 1504 of the family's 1533-position model. The record is from RNAcentral.